CAGGAUGAACGCUAGCGGCAGGCCUAACACAUGCAAGUCGAGGGGCAGCGCGGGUAGCAAUACCUGGCGGCGACCGGCGUACGGGUGCGUAACGCGUAUGUAACCUGGCUCCGAUUGGGGGAUAGCCUUCCGAAAGGAAGAUUAAUACCGCAUAACAUCGCUUUCCCGCAUGAGAGAGCGAUUAAAUAUUUAUAGAUCGGAGAUGGACAUGCGUGACAUUAGCUAGUUGGCGAGGUAACGGCUCACCAAGGCGACGAUGUCUAGGGGUCCUGAGAGGGAGAACCCCCACAUUGGUACUGAGACAGGGACCAAACUCCUACGGGAGGCAGCAGUGAGGAAUAUUGGUCAAUGGUCGGAAGACUGAACCAGCCAAGUCGCGUGCAGGAAGACGGUCCUAUGGAUUGUAAACUGCUUUUGUACGGGAAUAAAGUGCGGGACGUGUCCCGUUUGGAAUGUACCGUAAGAAUAAAGGUCGGCUAACUCCGUGCCAGCAGCCGCGGUAAUACGGAGGACCCGAUCGUUAUCCGGAUUUAUUGGGUUUAAAGGGUGCGGAGGGGGGUAGGGAAAUUCUGGUGUGAAAGGGGGGGGCUCAACCCCCAUACAGCAACGGAUACUGGCAAACUUGAGGGCAGAAGAGGGUAGUGGAAUUCCAUGUGUAGCGGUAAAAUCGGAAGAUAUAUGGAGGAACACCAGCGGGGAAGGCGACUUCCUGGUCUGUAACUGACGCUCAUGCACGAAAGCGUGGGGAGCAAAUAGGAUUAGAUACCCCUAGUAGUCCACGCCCUAAACGAUGAAUACUAAAUGUUGGAGCAAUUCAGGUGUUGUAGCUAACGCAAUAAGUAUUCCGCCUGAGGAGUAUGCACGCAAGUGUAAAACUUAAAGGAAUUGACGGGGACCCGCACAAGCGGUGGAGUAUGUGGUUCAAUUCGACGCAACGCGAAGAACCUUACCAGGCCUUGACAUCCCGAGCAAUGCUAUAGAGAUAUAGCGGAGGUUACCUCGGUGACAGGUGGUGCAUGGUUGUCGUCAGCUCGUGUCGUGAGAUGUUGGGUUAAGUCCCGCAACGAGCGCAACCCUUGUCUUUAGUUACCAUCAUUAAGUUGGGGACUCUAGAGAGACCGCCGAUUAUAAAUCGGAGGAAGGUGGGGAUGACGUCAAAUCAUCAUGCCCCUUAUGGCCUGGGCUACACACGUACUACAAUGGCGUAUACAACAAGAUGCAAAACAGCGAUGUCAAGCUAACCUUAUAAAAUACGUCCCAGUUCGGACUGAAGUCUGCAACCCGACUUCACGAAGUUGGAAUCGCUAGUAAUCGCGAAUCAGCCAUGGCGCGGUGAAUACGUUCCCGGGCCUUGCACACACCGCCCGUCAAG
RNAcentral lists this ribosomal RNA (1372 nucleotides) under uncultured bacterium. RNAcentral's name for it is "partial 16S ribosomal RNA". It matches the Rfam family "Bacterial small subunit ribosomal RNA", at positions 25 to 1401 of the family's 1533-position model. The record is from RNAcentral.